CGAGUGGAGGCGGUCGGCUUCGGCGAUCGCCUCGGCCGCCUGCCGGGCAUCGCCGCGCAACGCGGCGGCCUGCGCCCGUUCGGCCUGGGCCCACCCGGC
RNAcentral lists this transfer RNA (99 nucleotides) under Micromonospora phaseoli. RNAcentral describes it as "tRNA-Gly". The record is from RNAcentral. Lineage: Bacteria; Bacillati; Actinomycetota; Actinomycetes; Micromonosporales; Micromonosporaceae.